UACUAUUUUCGGAUAGUAUGAUGGCGAGUGGCGGACGGGUGAGUAACGCGUAGGAAUCUACCUAAAAGUGGGGGACAACCUGAGGAAACUUAGGCUAAUACCGCAUACACUCUAAGGAGAAAAGCUGGGGACCAUUUAUGGCCUGGCGCUUUUAGAUGAGCCUGCGUAAGAUUAGCUAGUUGGUAGGGUAAAAGCCUACCAAGGCUACGAUCUUUAGCUGGUUUGAGAGGAUGAUCAGCCACACUGGGACUGAGACACGGCCCAGACUCCUACGGGAGGCAGCAGUGGGGAAUAUUGGACAAUGGGCGAAAGCCUGAUCCAGCAAUGCCGCGUGUGCGAAGAAGGCUUUCGGGUCGUAAAGCACUUUCAAUGGGGAGGAAAGCUAUAGAAUUAAUACCUUUAUAGUCUGACGUUAUCCAUACAAGAAGCACCGGCUAACUCUGUGCCAGCAGCCGCGGUAAUACAGAGGGUGCAAGCGUUAAUCGGAGUUACUGGGCGUAAAGCGCACGUAGGCGGACGUAACAGUCAGAUGUGAAAUCCCUGGGCUUAACCUAGGAACUGCAUUUGAUACUAUACGUCUAGAGUAUGGUAGAGGGAAGUGGAAUUUCCGGUGUAGCGGUGAAAUGCAUAGAUAUCGGAAGGAACAUCAGUGGCGAAGGCGACUUCCUGGACCAAUACUGACGCUGAGGUGCGAAAGCAUGGGGAGCAAACAGGAUUAGAUACCCUGGUAGUCCAUGCCGUAAACGAUGAGAACUAGUUGUUGGGUAGUUUACUACUUAGUGACGCAGCUAACGCA
This 796-nucleotide ribosomal RNA is filed under the name bacterium SCGC AAA074-J23. Its description in RNAcentral is "bacterial SSU rRNA". It matches the Rfam family "Bacterial small subunit ribosomal RNA", at positions 72 to 859 of the family's 1533-position model. RNAcentral also lists the same sequence under 1 other name. The record is from RNAcentral.